This 492-nucleotide ribosomal RNA is filed under the name uncultured bacterium. Its description in RNAcentral is "partial 16S ribosomal RNA". It matches the Rfam family "Bacterial small subunit ribosomal RNA", at positions 29 to 507 of the family's 1533-position model. The record is from RNAcentral.
AGUGAACGCUGGCGGUAGGCCUAACACAUGCAAGUCGAACGGCAGCACAGUAAGAGCUUGCUCUUACGGGUGGCGAGUGGCGGACGGGUGAGGAAUACAUCGGAAUCUACUUUUUCGUGGGGGAUAACGUAGGGAAACUUACGCUAAUACCGCAUACGACCUACGUGUGAAAGCAGGGGAUCUUUGGACCUUGCGCGAUUGAAUGAGCCGAUGUCGGAUUAGCUAGUUGGCGGGGUAAAGGCCCACCAAGGCGACGAUCCGUAGCUGGUCUGAGAGGAUGAUCAGCCACACUGGAACUGAGACACGGUCCAGACUCCUACGGGAGGCAGCAGUGGGGAAUAUUGGACAAUGGGCGCAAGCCUGAUCCAGCCAUACCGCGUGGGUGAAGAAGGCCUUCGGGUUGUAAAGCCCUUUUGUUGGGAAAGAAAAGCAGCAGGUUAAUACCCCGCUGUUCUGACGGUACCCAAAGAAUAAGCACCGGCUAACUUCGUG